AUAAUUUUAUAGGUAAUUCGUCGUAUAAUCUUGAGAAUAGGGCUCUAGAGUUUCUACUGACCACCGUAAAUGGUCUGGCUACGAAGAAGAAUAAUUACUAU
RNAcentral lists this non-coding RNA (101 nucleotides) under Paraliobacillus sp. PM-2. RNAcentral's name for it is "Purine riboswitch aptamer". It matches the Rfam family "Purine riboswitch aptamer". From Rfam's summary of the family: Riboswitches are metabolite binding domains within certain messenger RNAs that serve as precision sensors for their corresponding targets. Allosteric rearrangement of mRNA structure is mediated by ligand binding, and this results in modulation of gene expression. A class of riboswitches that selectively recognises guanine and becomes saturated at concentrations as low as 5 nM. The record is from Rfam by way of RNAcentral. RNAcentral also lists the same sequence under 1 other name. Lineage: Bacteria; Bacillati; Bacillota; Bacilli; Caryophanales; Bacillaceae.